Molecule: non-coding RNA, 68 nt
Filed under: Streptomyces sp.
Lineage: Bacteria; Bacillati; Actinomycetota; Actinomycetes; Kitasatosporales; Streptomycetaceae
Source: RNAcentral
GCGGAGGCGCACUGGUGCCAGCCCCGGACGAGACGUGCGCCGUACCCGGCCUGCUAAGACGACGCACU